GUGAACUGUGAUCAACAGGCAGAGUCAACACAGGGGCCUCUCUCUGGACUGGAGAAGGUAAACAAGCCCAGUUUGAACCUUGUACUUUCCUGGGAGGCAAAUGGGAGGCAGCAUAGAAAGCGGCAACAAACAGAACCAAAGAUCGCUGAAAUCCCAUCAAAAAGUAACACCAACAUACACACACAGACACGAGGAGGGGGGAAGGAGGAGGGGAGGAAAGAUGUAGGAAGCAGACAAGAGCUGUCCUUACCCAGCAUUAAGGCUGCGUUUUUCUUUGAAUCGGAGGCGCGGGGGGGGGAGGAGGGAAGGGGGACGGCUAGCUGGAAAAGGCCUGGGUCGGCGUUGGAACUUGCUGCUAAUAAUACCCUCUUAGUUUCUGUUCCUGCUAUAGCCGGGCUAAUUGAAAUGGAAGAGAUCCUAGCUUCUUGCAGGGGAGGACUCUACGGGCCUACGGAUCCGUGUGGCGUUGGGGAAGUCCAGAUUGCGUCUCCCGUGUGGGCCAGAAGCAGCACACCGGCCCCCCAGUCAACAGCUAUGGU
This 539-nucleotide long non-coding RNA is filed under the name Ornithorhynchus anatinus (platypus). Its description in RNAcentral is "lncRNA (ENSOANG00000041999.1)". The record is from RNAcentral. Lineage: Eukaryota; Metazoa; Chordata; Mammalia; Monotremata; Ornithorhynchidae.